AUGGCGUCGCGGACGAAGCGCCACUCCUCCCAGCUCGACCACGGCACCAGCUUCCGGGCGGUGGAGCGGCCGCCGCCGGCGUCGCCUGCAUCUUCCGCCGCCUCCAUGGGAGCCGAGCCGAGGCGAGCGGCGAGUCCAAACCCUACUAAACCCACCGGUGGGGUCGCGCCGUUUCGCUCGGGGGAAAAGACGACGACUCGCUGCCAAGGUGGGCCAAGGGUGUGUGUAUGGUUCAAUGGUUGCGAGCGCCGAGCAGGGUGUUUUCGGCAAUUUUCCACGACAGUUGUUGAGGUCUGUCCCCACCCCGCCGCCCACCGUGCGGACGCGGCCGUGGCCAACCUCCGUCCGGUACAUGGCCUCGCCGGCGCCCCUCGUCGGAGGAGAGGCCUAAAGGCAACCGCAGCCAGGACGCCCGCGCCGUCGCUCUCUCAUCCUGCCGCCGCUCACAUUGUCCGCUCCAACCUGCACGACACCAACAUUAUCAAUGUCAUUAUGAGAAAAUGUGUCACCUUCUAUAUCUGCUCAAGCACAAUAACAUCCCCAUCAAUCUCGAUGUCUCUGAUACCUUCUUCUGGCAAGCUUUCAAGCUCACGACAGUUGGAGAUAUGUAGUGUUUCAAGUGAGGAGACUUCAUGCAGACCAGGAGGCAAACACUGGAGGUCAUCACAGCGUGAUAUGUCUAAGAACUGA
This 690-nucleotide ribosomal RNA is filed under the name Triticum aestivum (bread wheat). RNAcentral's name for it is "partial small subunit ribosomal RNA". Lineage: Eukaryota; Viridiplantae; Streptophyta; Magnoliopsida; Poales; Poaceae. The record is from RNAcentral.